Molecule: long non-coding RNA, 985 nt
Organism: Gallus gallus (chicken)
Lineage: Eukaryota; Metazoa; Chordata; Aves; Galliformes; Phasianidae
Source: Ensembl
CAUGAGGUGCCUCCAGGGCAAAACAGGGCUCUGUGAGUGCUUCUUGUGCGUAGAGUGGAGUUCACUCCCUUUCAUUUUGAAAGUGCCUACACACUUUGAUAUCCUAAUGAGAUGCCUACUUGCAUGCCCAGGUUACCUUCAGGAAUCAGGCCUUUAGGCCCUCUUCGUUGGCUGACUAUUGAAAGCGAUGAAAGGGAAACAAAAAAGAACACAUUGGCAAUGGAGGGACAGAACACUGAUGGUGUUGAUGACUCACCAUUACCGCUAUGACCAUAAAUGGAAGAAGACAAGGAAUAAAUUUUACCCUUACCGAGGAGCUGGAUUUAAGAUCUUCCUGGGCAGGUUUUCCAUAUAAAGCAAGUCUCCACUCACAGACAGACAGCACUGCUACAAUCAUGGAGAAAAUGAAGAUGAAUUAAGCUGUAAGGAUGCCCUGACUCAGCACUGGACAGGAAGGGUGACCUGUGUGAAAGUUGACCACGAAAAGAGGAGUCCUGCUGUUGAAUCAGCAUUGCUGUGAUGAAAACAGGUGACUGUAACAUUAAAAAAAAAAAAAAAAGCAGUUGUUCUCACAUUCAUCUUUAUCAGUAAUGUGAUAUUUUUUGAGACAGGAUAGGGUUUGCAGCAGAGCUAGGCAGGAGGUAAGCACUGCUCAACAGCAGCACAGGCUGAGGCUGCUCGGAACCAUUCUAGGCAGAAAACUGACUCUGAAAGAGGGGCAAAAAGGGCCAAUCUUGAAAGAUUGUCCUUUUUGAAGGGUUGAAAGGAAGAUAUCAUAACUUUCACACUCACUUCUUUAAGCCAGAACUCAUUUUCUUUAUAUGUUGUACUACAUCUAGAUGAAGUCUCUUCAAAAGACAACUUCAAGGGAGAUUGAUGUGGAUAAUUAAAAGAUGUUUGAUUUGGUGAUUGAUCUCUUGUGGGCAACAGUGAACAGUGAGAAAGUGUUGUCAGAGUAGCAACAGGAUGUAUUUGAGAAGGAUGC